RNAcentral lists this transfer RNA (64 nucleotides) under Haplorchis taichui. Its description in RNAcentral is "tRNA-Cys". The record is from RNAcentral. Lineage: Eukaryota; Metazoa; Platyhelminthes; Trematoda; Opisthorchiida; Heterophyidae.
GGGUGUGAUGCUAGUAAGGCAGGGUGCUCUGCAAAGGCACUUUAGAUAUUUUUAUCCAUACCUU